RNAcentral lists this ribosomal RNA (475 nucleotides) under uncultured Cladosporium. RNAcentral describes it as "LSU rRNA". It matches the Rfam family "Eukaryotic large subunit ribosomal RNA", at positions 178 to 674 of the family's 3401-position model. Lineage: Eukaryota; Fungi; Ascomycota; Dothideomycetes; Cladosporiales; Cladosporiaceae. The record is from RNAcentral.
GACCUAAGUUCCUUGGAACAGGACGUCAUAGAGGGUGAGAAUCCCGUAUGCGGUCGGAAAGGUGCUCUAUACGUAGCUCCUUCGACGAGUCGAGUUGUUUGGGAAUGCAGCUCUAAAUGGGAGGUAAAUUUCUUCUAAAGCUAAAUAUUGGCCAGAGACCGAUAGCGCACAAGUAGAGUGAUCGAAAGAUGAAAAGCACUUUGGAAAGAGAGUUAAAAAGCACGUGAAAUUGUUAAAAGGGAAGGGAUUGCAACCAGACUUGCUCGCGGUGUUCCGCCGGUCUUCUGACCGGUCUACUCGCCGCGUUGCAGGCCAGCAUCGUCUGGUGCCGCUGGAUAAGACUCGAGGAAUGUAGCUCCCUCGGGAGUGUUAUAGCCUCUUGUGAUGCAGCGAGCGCCGGGCGAGGUCCGCGCUUCGGCUAGGAUGCUGGCGUAAUGGUCGUAAUCCGCCCGUCUUGAAACACGGACCAGGGAGA